This 279-nucleotide long non-coding RNA is filed under the name Elaeis guineensis (African oil palm). RNAcentral describes it as "long non-coding RNA (EGUI_LNC054186)". Lineage: Eukaryota; Viridiplantae; Streptophyta; Magnoliopsida; Arecales; Arecaceae. The record is from RNAcentral.
AAUUAUUAUCAUGACUGUGAUCAUACAUAGGUUUGUGGUUUGGUUCAGGUCGGGUCAAGGGUUGAACCCGAUCGAACAUCUAAACCCUAGCAUGUCUAAGAGAUAUAUUUUAAAUAUAAAAUAUAUGAUGUAUGUGUAGAAUUUUUUUAGUAGCCUAAUACUCUAAUUGGGGUUCAUUACUAGGCCAUCCGAUCAUAAGAGCAAGUAGGGUUCAUAAAUCCUCUCUUCCUAUUCAAUAGGGUACUCUUAUGGCGUGUAGGGGUGCCACUGUGAUGUUUC